AAUGAACGCUGGCGGCAUGGAUUAGGCAUGCAAGUUGAACGCUCUCUUCGGAGAGAGUGGCGAAAGGGUGAGUAACGCGUGAGUGAUCUGCCCCCAAGACUGGAAUAACUGUUGGGAACGGCAGCUAAUACCGGAUGUGAUUACAUAACUGCAUGGUUUUGUGAUUAAAGAUUUAUUGCUUGGGGAUGAGCUCGCGUCCCAUUACGCUUGUUGGUAAGGUAACGGCUUACCAAGGCUGUGACGGGUAGGUGGUCUGAGAGGAUGGUCACCCACACUGGGACUGAGACACUGCCCAG
RNAcentral lists this ribosomal RNA (296 nucleotides) under uncultured bacterium. RNAcentral describes it as "partial 16S ribosomal RNA". It matches the Rfam family "Bacterial small subunit ribosomal RNA", at positions 29 to 334 of the family's 1533-position model. The record is from RNAcentral.